GUUCUUGUAGUUGAAUUACAACGGUGGUUUUUCAAGCCAUUGGUCCUGGUUAAAGCCCUGGCGGGAAUU
RNAcentral lists this transfer RNA (69 nucleotides) under Pterois miles (devil firefish). RNAcentral describes it as "tRNA-Glu". It matches the Rfam family "tRNA". Rfam says of the family: Transfer RNA (tRNA) molecules are approximately 80 nucleotides in length. Their secondary structure includes four short double-helical elements and three loops (D, anti-codon, and T loops). Lineage: Eukaryota; Metazoa; Chordata; Actinopteri; Perciformes; Scorpaenidae. RNAcentral also lists the same sequence under 1 other name. The record is from RNAcentral.